Molecule: ribosomal RNA, 482 nt
Filed under: Gigaspora margarita
Lineage: Eukaryota; Fungi; Glomeromycota; Glomeromycetes; Diversisporales; Gigasporaceae
Description: SSU rRNA
Rfam family: Eukaryotic small subunit ribosomal RNA
Source: RNAcentral
AUGGGAUCCAGCUCCAAUAGCGUAUAUUAAAGUUGUUGCAGUUAAAAAGCUCGUAGUUGAAUUUCGGGGUUCUACCGUUGGUCGGGCAAUAGUCUGUACUGGCGUGUAGAAUUUCUACCUUCUGGGGAACCAUCAUGUUAUUUAUUUAGCGUGGUGGGAAACCAGGACCUUUACCUUGAAAAAAUUAGAGUGUUCAAAGCAGGCUUACGUCUGAAUACAUUAGCAUGGAAUAAUAAAAUAGGACGGUGGUCCUGUUUUGUUGGUUUCUGAAUCACCGUAAUGAUUAAUAGGGAUAGUUGGGGGCAUUAGUAUUCAAUUGUCAGAGGUGAAAUUCUUGGAUUUAUUGAAGACUAACUUCUGCGAAAGCAUUUGCCAAGGAUGUUUUCAUUAAUCAAGAACGAAAGUUAGGGGAUCGAAGACGAUCAGAUACCGUCGUAGUCUUAACCAUAAACUAUGCCGACUAGGGAUCGGACGAUGUUAAU